UACGGAGGAUCCAAGCGUUAUCCGGAAUCAUUGGGUUUAAAGGGUCCGUAGGCGGCUUUAUAAGUCAGUGGUGAAAUCCGGCAGCUCAACUGUCGAACUGCCAUUGAUACUGUAGAGCUUGAAUUAUUAUGAAGUAACUAGAAUAUGUAGUGUAGCGGUGAAAUGCUUAGAUAUUACAUGGAAUACCAAUUGCGAAGGCAGGUUACUAAUAAUACAUUGACGCUGAUGGA
RNAcentral lists this ribosomal RNA (230 nucleotides) under uncultured microorganism. RNAcentral's name for it is "partial 16S ribosomal RNA". It matches the Rfam family "Bacterial small subunit ribosomal RNA", at positions 524 to 753 of the family's 1533-position model. The record is from RNAcentral.